UCCGGUUUGUCACCGGCGGUCCCCUUAGAGUUCCCAACUAAAUGCUGGCAACUAAGGGCAAGGGUUGCGCUCGUUGCGGGACUUAACCCAACAUCUCACGACACGGGCUGACGACAGCCAUGCAGCACCUGUGUCCGCGUCCAUUGCUGGAACCACGCAUCUCUGCGUGUAGCACGGCAUGUCAAGGGCUGGUAAGGUUCUGCGCGUUGCGUCGAAUUAAACCACAUGCUCCGCUGCUUGUGCGGGUCCCCGUCAAUUCCUUUGAGUUUUAGCCUUGCGGCCGUACUCCCCAGGCGGGGCACUUAAUGCGUUAGCUCCGGCACGAGAGGAGUCGACACCUCCCACACCUAGUGCCCAUCGUUUACGGCGUGGACUAC
RNAcentral lists this unclassified non-coding RNA (377 nucleotides) under uncultured bacterium. Its description in RNAcentral is "contains 16S-23S intergenic spacer region". The record is from RNAcentral.